UAGCUAAUACCGCAUAACGUCGCAAGACCAAAGAGGGGGACCUUCGGGCCUCUUGCCAUCUGAUGUGCCCAGAUGGGAUUAGCUAGGAGGCGGGGUAACGGCUCACCUAGGCGACGAUCCCUAGCUGGUCUGAGAGGAUGACCAGCCACACUGGAACUGACACACGGUCCAGUACUCCUACGGGAGGCAGCACUGGGGAAUAUUGCACAAUGGGCGCAAGCCUGAUGCAGCCAUGCCGCGUGUAUGAAGAAGGCCUUCGGGUUGUAAAGUACUUUCAGCGGGGAGGAAGGCGAUAAGGUUAAUAACCUUGUCGAUUGACGGCUACCCGCAGUAAGAAGCACCGGCUAACUCCGUGCCAGCAGCCGCGGUAAUUCGGAGGGUGCAAGCGUUAAUCGGAAUUACUGGGUCGUAAAGCGCACGCCAGGCGGCUCUGUCAAGUCGGAUGUGACAUCCCCGGGGCUCUACCUGGGGAACUGCAUUCGAAACUGGCAGGCU
RNAcentral lists this ribosomal RNA (495 nucleotides) under uncultured bacterium. RNAcentral describes it as "bacterial SSU rRNA". It matches the Rfam family "Bacterial small subunit ribosomal RNA", at positions 160 to 642 of the family's 1533-position model. The record is from RNAcentral.